CUUGCAGUGGUUACCAGCUUUAUACUUAUAUCAGUCUUAGGUCUAGGAUUUUAUUUGAAACGUUUCUUUGGCACUUUGGUUGUCAUCCUGUACUGGUUAAUUUACAGACAAUUCUGUUUGCUGUUCUCAUUCUGUAUGUUGGAAAAUGAAGAGCUUGAUGCUUUGGAAGCCGAUAUGGACUUUGAAUCGAAUUCAGUCCCAUUACCUCCAACCAGACAAGGAGACUGAUCAUGAUUCUGAGCUUAACUUACCUCUGCACCAAGUGGCCAUGCAGCAGUUCCGCCGAACCGGCAGCAGGAGGAUGAACUGGGACUGCCUACCGUGCCGCACGCAUCAAUUCGUACCUGAAUGAAAGUAACAAAAAAGCUAUGGUGUAGGUUUUGAUCUCGUUGUAAAUGGUCGGCACUUUGUUUAUGCAUGGACAAAUUCAUUGUAUCUUGCAUCAUAUACCACUGCAAUUUGUUGAACGAUGGAAUGUCUCUUUCCCUUUGUGCUGGAACAAUAGUGUGUGAUAAAGGGUGUGUUCUCUAUACGGCUGUACAUCCUGUUGUUAGUAUGUUUCUGCUGAGUUGAAUUGGUA
Molecule: non-coding RNA, 580 nt
Organism: Triticum urartu
Lineage: Eukaryota; Viridiplantae; Streptophyta; Magnoliopsida; Poales; Poaceae
Source: RefSeq, a predicted model, not a curated record